CCAUUUGUCCUAGAAUCUUGCCAUAAUUUUAACCCCAAACAAAUUUUUUCCCUUUUCGAUAAAAAUGCACGUAUUUAUUUCGUAAUUUUUAAUACUCGUUUUUCGUAUUUUACUGUUUAUUUUCACAGAAAUUUCUUAUUUCUGUCGUUACGUUCUUACGUCGAAACGAACUAAGGAAUGGCGGUAUCGAAAGCCCGGUAAAGGGGGCGCGCUAAAAGAAGUUGCCUAUCGGUGACGUUUGUUGGUCGGGUCGAGUUGGCAACGUUGCCGAAGUAAACAUGGCGUAAUUAAGCGAUCGAGGGAACGUGUAAACGAAAACACGUGCUUAGUAAUCGCUGUUACGAUGAUAAACAAAGCGGACUGUAAUUAUAACUCGAUGGAUAACAAACCCGCCUCUAAUUCGCAAAAGAGUAACUGUGGAGAGGAUUAUAUGUACUACGAAGAAAAUGGCGUUUCUCCUCUACACAAAUAUGCGUUGAAUGGAGACAAAACAAAUUUGAGAAAAUUAUUGGAUUCUGUCGAAUCCAUCGAUUUGGAAGUAAAGGAUAAAUUUGGCAAAACGCCUUUGAUAUUCAGCGUAAUUGGUAAUCACGUGGAAUGUGCCAUUAUUCUACUUAAGUCCGGCGCUAGAGUGGAUAACAGUGACAAAUGUGGACAGACUGCGUUACACUGGGCGGCACAUAAAGGUUUGAGACGCUGUGUUCGUCUGUUAUUAGAUAAUGGAGCACUUUGGCAUCAGAAAGAUAUUUAUGGUGUAACUCCAUUGCACUUAGCUGCAAGAGCCUCUUCUCCAAAAUGUUUAGAAUUAAUUAGUAAAGAAGUACAGUUUGGUCAAACAGAUAUUGAAGAUAGCAGUAAGAAAACACCUCUUCAUUGGAGUGCAGCAUUUGGCAAUGCCAAACAAAUUAAAAUUCUUCUCAAAAAAGGUGCCAAUAUACGGAUUCCAGAUGUCGAAGGAAAGACACCUCUCCAUUUAGCAGCUGGCUGUAAUGAACCCGGAGCUUUAGAAUGUGUUAAAGUUUUAAUGGAAGAAGCACCUAGUGUUAUAAAUUGGCAAGAUUAUGAAGGGAGAAGUGCAUUACAUGUAGCAGUAGCUUUGGGUUCAACUGAUAUUGUUGAUUUAUUGACAUCUACUGAAAGAUGUAAUCUUAAUUGUCCUGAUAAUAUGUUUUGUACCCCUCUGCAUUGGGCAGCAUCUCUCGGUUUAGCAGAUAAAGUCAGUCUGCUUUUGGAUCGUAGAGCUGAUUUUCAUAGCACAGAUAUUAACGGAGCAACUCCUUUACAUUAUGCUUCUCAAGGAAAUUAUGCUGAUACUGUAGCUGUGUUUCUUUCAAGGAAUUACAUAACAGACAAAAGGGAUUCGGAAGGUAGAAAUGCAUUGAUGUGGGCAGCAGCGAGAGGUGCUGAUGAUGUAAUUCGCACCAUUUAUACAUUUGGUGUGGAUCUAUCAUUAAAAGAUGAAAAUGGAGCAUCAGCUCUUCAUGCUGCUGCUAGUCAAGGAAAUAUAACAACUAUUGACAUGUUGUUGGAUUUAGGAGCUCCUUUGGAAGCUUGUGACAAAAAUGACAUGACUCCUUUUCUGUACGCUUGUAUCAGGGGAAAAGCAAAGUCCGUUCGCCUACUCAUUGAGAAAGGAGCUUCUUUAAUGUCGAUGGAUAUGGAUGGUCGAACAUCUCUUCAUUGGGCAGCAUUGGGAGGCCACGCUUACGUUUGCCAGAUUUUACUUCAAAAUGGAUGUGAUCCAAACUGUCAGGAUUUUUAUGGAAGAACACCUUUAUACUGUGCCAGCCACGAGGGUCACAUUAAUUGUACAUCUGUUUUACUUGCAAAUGGUGCUAAUCCUAAUGUUGCCGACAAUGAAAUGCACUCCACUGGAUUAUGCAUUGAAAUCAGAACAGACGGAAAUAGCACAGAUUCUUAUAGAGUCGGGAGGCCUGACGUCUUUGGAUAUCGAAACGAUUGCUGCCGCCGUGAUUCAGGCAUUUUUUAAAGGGAUUUUAAUUAGAAAACAGAUUGCGACCAGAAAAAGAUUAUUUAAUUUUUUAUCCAUCAAGAAAAUAAACCAGACAUGGACGGGAAGAGCGUGUUCGGCCAGAAACUCUUGCUGCGGAAGCAGCGACUCGGA
Molecule: unclassified non-coding RNA, 2125 nt
Filed under: Centruroides sculpturatus (bark scorpion)
Lineage: Eukaryota; Metazoa; Arthropoda; Arachnida; Scorpiones; Buthidae
Description: inversin-like, transcript variant X1
Source: RNAcentral